Molecule: ribosomal RNA, 508 nt
Filed under: uncultured bacterium
Lineage: Bacteria
Description: partial 16S ribosomal RNA
Rfam family: Bacterial small subunit ribosomal RNA
Source: RNAcentral
AUUGAACGCUGGCGGCAUGCCUUACACAUGCAAGUCGAACGGCAGCGGGGGAGAAGCUUGCUUUUCCUGCCGGCGAGUGGCGAACGGGUGAGUAAUACAUCGGAACGUGCCCUGUAGUGGGGGAUAACUAGUCGAAAGAUUAGCUAAUACCGCAUACGACCUGAGGGUGAAAGUGGGGGACCGCAAGGCCUCAUGCUAUAGGAGCGGCCGAUGUCUGAUUAGCUAGUUGGUGGGGUAAAGGCCUACCAAGGCGACGAUCAGUAGCUGGUCUGAGAGGACGAUCAGCCACACUGGGACUGAGACACGGCCCAGACUCCGACGGGAGGCAGCAGUGGGGAAUUUUGGACAAUGGGCGAAAGCCUGAUCCAGAAAUGCCGCGUGUGUGAAGAAGACCUUCGGGUUGUAAAGCACUUUUGUCCGGAAAGAAAUGGCUCUGGUUAAUACCUGGGGUCGAUGACGGUACCGGAAGAAUAAGGACCGGCUAACUACGUGCCAGCCGCCGCAGUAA